Molecule: ribosomal RNA, 1244 nt
Filed under: metagenome
Description: bacterial LSU rRNA
Rfam family: Bacterial large subunit ribosomal RNA
Source: RNAcentral
UGAGUACAAGAUGCUACGGCAUUGAAGCAGUCUAUGUCAUACUUCCAAGAAAAGCUUGCAAUGUCAUAAACAAAUAAUGCCUGUACCAUAACCGACACAGGUGGGUAGGUAGAGUAUACUAAGGGGCGCGAGAUAACUCUCUCUAAGGAACUCGGCAAAAUGACUCCGUAACUUCGGGAGAAGGAGUACCUUAUUUUAUAAGGUUGCAAUAACAAGGUCCAAGCAACUGUUUACCAAAAACACAGGUCUCCGCUAAGUCGUAAGACGAUGUAUGGGGGCUGACGCCUGCCCAGUGCCAGAAGGUUAAAGAAGUUGGUUAGCAUUAGCGAAGCUGAUAACUGAAGCCCUGGUGAACGGCGGCCGUAACUAUAACGGUCCUAAGGUAGCGAAAUUCCUUGUCGGGUAAGUUCCGACCCGCACGAAAGGCGUAAUGAUUUGGAUACUGUCUCGGAGAGGGGCUCGGUGAAAUAGACUUGUCUGUGAAGAUGCGGACUACCUGCACCUGGACAGAAAGACCCUAUGAAGCUUACUGUAACUUGAGAUUGAAAUUGGACUUUAUUUGCGCAGUAUAGGUGGGAGACCUCGAAAGUAUUCUUGCGGGAAUAUUGGAGUCAUCAGUGAGAUACCACUCUUAUAAUGUUAGAUUUCUAACUUUGUAUCAUUAUCUGGUCAAAGAACAGUUUCAGGCGGGCAGUUUGACUGGGGCGGUCGCCUCCCAAAUGGUAACGGAGGCGCACAAAGGUUUCCUCUGAACGUGUAGAAAUCGUAUCUAGAGUGUAAAGGCAUAAGGAAGCUUGACUGUGAGACCUACAAGUCGAGCAGGGACGAAAGUCGGUCUUAGUGAUCUGACGGUGCUGAGUGGAAAGGCCGUCACUCAACGGAUAAAAGUUACUCUAAGGAUAACAGGCUGAUCUCCCCCAAGAGUUCACAUCGACGGGGAGGUUUGGCACCUCGAUGUCGGCUCAUCGCAUCCUGGGGCGGUAGUACGUCCCAAGGGUUGGGCUGUUCGCCCAUGAAAGCGGUACGCGAGCUGGGUUCAGAACGUCGUGAGACAGUUCGGUCCAUAUCCGGUGUAGGCGUUAGAAUAUUGAGAGGAGCCUUCUUUAGUACGAGAGGACCGAGAAGGACAUACCUCUGGUGUACCAGUUAUCGUGCCAACGGUAAACGCUGGGUAGCUAUGUAUGGAGAGGAUAACCGCUGAAAGCAUCUAAGUGGGAAGCCCACCUCAAGAUAAGUAUUCUCAU